UGGGUCUCACACCCUGACCCACGGAUCAUUGCAGUCAGCGGCAAUGCCAUCAAGUCACAAAUAUGCGAUUGUUCUGAAUUGGACCAAGAGCUUGGGUCCUUGAUCGUCCGGUGAAUUGGACAGAUGGAGUCACAUGCACACCGUGCCAGCCCAGACGAACUUUACCGGUUGCUCCUUGAGCCUGAUUUUGCGGGGAAAAUACCACAAGAAUCAUGUCAAUACAAAGGCAAUUCAUCGGAAAUGAAGUGAAGUGCAACAUCGCAAACUGUCGGAUGGUUACAAUCCCCGCCGUCAUGCAACAUGGUUGGUGCUGCUUCAACUGGGACAUGAUGGCCCACGUGAUAACCAUAAUGGACCCAAUGGCAUACCAGACAGAGGACACAACAAGGAAAACUUGCCUUAUGUACGAGGCCGACAAGAUACAUGACGCUCUUUUUGAUUGCAUUGAAGAAUUCUUCACUGAGUGGCACUGCAGCAGACAUUCAUGGACGAAGAAGACACCUCUAUUGUCUACCACA
This is a long non-coding RNA of Triticum aestivum (bread wheat), 518 nucleotides long. RefSeq lists it as uncharacterized. The record is from RefSeq and is a predicted model, not a curated record. The transcript is spliced from 3 exons. Lineage: Eukaryota; Viridiplantae; Streptophyta; Magnoliopsida; Poales; Poaceae.